CCUACGGGGGACAGCAGUGAGGAAUAUUGGUCAAUGGGCGCGAGCCUGAACCAGCCAAGUAGCGUGAAGGAUGACUGCCCUACGGGUUGUAAACUUCUUUUAUAAAGGAAUAAAGUGAGGCACGUGUGCCUUUUUGUAUGUACUUUAUGAAUAAGGAUCGGCUGACUCCGUGCCAGCAGCCGCGGUAAUACGGAGGAUCCGAGUGUUAUCCGGAUUAUUGGGUUAAAGGGGUGCGCAGGCGGAGGUGCAAGCUAGCGGUCAAAUUGCGGGGCUCAACCCCGUACUGCCGUUGAAACUGCAUCCCUUGAGUGCACAAGAGGAGUGCGGAAUGCGUUGUGUAGCGGUGAAAUGCAUAGAUAUCACGCAGAACUCCGAUUGCGAAGGCAGCAUACCGGCGCGCAACUGACGCUCAUGCACGAAAGCGUGGGUAUCGAACAGGAUUAGAUACCCUUGUAGUC
RNAcentral lists this ribosomal RNA (458 nucleotides) under uncultured bacterium. Its description in RNAcentral is "partial 16S ribosomal RNA". It matches the Rfam family "Bacterial small subunit ribosomal RNA", at positions 338 to 795 of the family's 1533-position model. The record is from RNAcentral.